GGGCGAAAGNNGAUGCAGCAUGCCGCGUGUGUGAAGAAGGCUUAGGGUUGUAAAGCACUUCAGCGAGGGGGAAAGGAUUAAAGUUAAUACCUUUAGUCUGUGACGUUACUCGCAGAAGAAGCACCGGCUAACUCCGUGCCAGCAGCCGCGGUAAUACGGAGGGUGCGAGCGUUAAUCGGAAUUACUGGGCGUAAAGCGUGCGUAGGCGGCUACUUAAGUUGGAUGUGAAAGCCCCGGGCUCAACCUGGGAACUGCAUCCAAAACUGGGUGGCUAGAGUGCGAGAGAGGAGUGUGGAAUNUCCUGUGUAGCGGUGAAAUGCGUAGAUAUAGGAAGGAACACCAGUGGCGAAGGCGACACUCUGGCUUGACACUGACGCUGAGGUACGAAAGCGUGGGGAGCAAACAGGAUUAGAUACCCUGGUAGUCCACGCCGUAAACGAUGUCUACUAGUUGUCCGUUGUCUUGUACGAUGGGUAACGCAGCUAACGCGAUAAGUAGACCGCCUGGGGAGUACGGCCGCAAGGUUA
This 527-nucleotide ribosomal RNA is filed under the name uncultured bacterium. RNAcentral describes it as "bacterial SSU rRNA". It matches the Rfam family "Bacterial small subunit ribosomal RNA", at positions 373 to 896 of the family's 1533-position model. The record is from RNAcentral.